AGUUAAAUAAAUAUGUCUUGAAAACAUAAAUAAGAAAUAAUUCUAUUAACUU
This 52-nucleotide transfer RNA is filed under the name Ceraphronidae sp. ZJUH_2016007. RNAcentral describes it as "tRNA-Ser". The record is from RNAcentral. Lineage: Eukaryota; Metazoa; Arthropoda; Insecta; Hymenoptera; Ceraphronidae.